GGCAGGUGGGACAUUAAGGUUCAGGAGUGAUAGUCAUAUAAAGUAAAUGUUAUAAAAUGCUUAGUUCAGACUUCAGAUCUCAGUUUUUAUAUUUAAAGUAGCCAUUAAACCCAAAAGCAUUUGAGUUUUGGGAGCGUGAAUGAGUCUGAUGGCCAAGUAUUGGCAUUUCAUACCUAUCAGAAUAUGUUGGCAUCUUGUCCAAGUUUGUUCUCGAUAUUUUUUAUAUGUUCUGAUGCAUUACCUGGUGUCCCUCGAUGUUUUUUAUAUGUUCUGAUCCUU
RNAcentral lists this unclassified non-coding RNA (279 nucleotides) under Hevea brasiliensis (rubber tree). Lineage: Eukaryota; Viridiplantae; Streptophyta; Magnoliopsida; Malpighiales; Euphorbiaceae. The record is from RNAcentral.